Molecule: ribosomal RNA, 222 nt
Filed under: uncultured Glomus
Lineage: Eukaryota; Fungi; Glomeromycota; Glomeromycetes; Glomerales; Glomeraceae
Description: partial 18S ribosomal RNA
Rfam family: Eukaryotic small subunit ribosomal RNA (bases 46-222)
Source: RNAcentral
AUUUCGGGAUCAAUGCGUCGGUCGUGCCUUCGGUACGUACUGGCGUCAUUGAUUCCUCCCUUCUGAAGAACCGUGAUGUCAUUAAUUUGGUGUUACGGGGAAUCAGGACUGUUACCUUGAAAAAAUUAGAGUGUUUAAAGCAGGCUAACGCUUGAAUACAUUAGCAUGGAAUAAUGAAAUAGGACGUUCGAACCUAUUUUGUUGGUUUCUAGGAUCGACGUA